CAGCGGGAUUGAAGCUUGCUUCAAUUGCCGGCGACCGGCGCACGGGUGCGUAACGCGUAUGCAACCUACCCAUAACAGGGGGAUAACCUUGCGAAAGUAAGACUAAUACCCAAUGACGUCUCUAGAAGACAUCUGAAGGAGAUUAAAGAUUUAUCGGUGAUGGAUGGGGAUGCGUCUGAUUAGCUUGUUGGCGGGGUAACGGCCCACCAAGGCUACGAUCAGUAGGGGUUCUGAGAGGAAGGUCCCCACAUUGGAACUGAGACACGGUCCAAACUCC
Molecule: ribosomal RNA, 277 nt
Filed under: uncultured Prevotellaceae bacterium
Lineage: Bacteria; Pseudomonadati; Bacteroidota; Bacteroidia; Bacteroidales; Prevotellaceae
Description: partial 16S ribosomal RNA
Rfam family: Bacterial small subunit ribosomal RNA
Source: RNAcentral